Long non-coding RNA from Anguilla rostrata (American eel), 1730 nucleotides. RefSeq lists it as uncharacterized. The record is from RefSeq and is a predicted model, not a curated record. NCBI's taxonomy places the organism in Eukaryota, Metazoa, Chordata, Actinopteri, Anguilliformes, Anguillidae. The transcript has 4 exons.
UGAGAACCCCCUGGUGUAGACCAAUAAAACUGCUAGUCUUCCUGUAUAAGAAUAUCUUUCCAGCAUAUAUUCUGCAAUGUAUAACUUCAAUUACUGUAGGAAAUUUUGGUGACAUCAACUGCUGAUUUUCCUUAAAUGGUCUUGUAUGUUGGACUGUGUGUGUAAACAAUGGAGGCUGGUGUGUCAGGAAAUCCAUUUACAUGUCUACAGAACACACUUAAGUGGUAGCAUUCUGAGCAUUUCAAAUUCAGCAUUUCUUGUACGCCUCUGGCAUUCUUCAUAGAUUUCUGAAUAGUCAGUUCAGGAGAACCUCACACAGUUCAGGAGAACCAGGUGUGAGGAGCUCUGCAAAGGAGCUGCUCCUGCGCUUGGUCUUGCUAGACGUAUGCCCUCAACAGAAAUCUUCAUCCCCACCCAGACAUUUUUCUUUUGGAAGUAUCUCUUUCUGUUACUUCAUAUUACUCUCACUCUCCAGUCGUCCCUCUCUUUCCAUCUGUUUCUGUCACUCUCUCCACCUUUUCUGUCUCAUUCCCUCUCCCCCUGUCUCUCUCUGCCACUUUCCAUCUCUCUCUCUCACUCUCUCUCUCUGUCCCUGUCUCUCUCUCUGUCUGUCUGUCUCUCUCUCUCUUCCAAUGCAGCUGCUGUUCUCCUUCAGCCCGAAGUGGGGGAAAACUGCCCCACUCCCCCCCAUGAAAUAGCCUUGAAAUCUGCCCUCAACCUCCUCCAUGUUCUCACCACCAAACACUGCAUGACCGCCAGCCUCACACACAGGAGGCCCGCUGGAGGUGAUGAAAACUGUUCUGUAGCCCGAUAACUGGGCUGUCCAAAGAGCUGUUGGACGGAAGACCGGAAUGCAAAGGCCACAAGGUUACCCAAAGGGUGCUUCAAGUUGAACUAAUCCAGUUGCUGGAACUAAUCCACUAGACUUCUUUGUGCUGAUCCUUAAUAGGUCCAGCUGCAUGGCCAUAGAGGAGGCUUUGUAGUCCUCCAUUAAAUGUGAAUCACUGCAAAGAGAAAAUCACUUUUGACUUAUGCCUCCAAUGUACCAUGUACAGUAUACACGUAUAUACAUUGUCUAAUCAGCGCAGGCAAUAGAAUGUAAUGAGGUGGACUCUGCUACAGCAUUAAUCUGAGACAGAAUUUCCAUGAUUGUGUGAGUUUUGAAAUAUGAGCCUUCAGAGCCUGAGCGAGGGUAUUAGGAAGAGAUGCUCAUUAAUGGACAUCAAACCCAUCUUUCGAUGUCCUAUUUGUGGGCCAGACAGCUUGCAGGUUGCCAGUGUAGACUCACAGACUCAUUUAUCAGAACAUUUAGGGUCAUAAUGGAAACCUAUAUUUAUACGAAUAUCACCAGGGUGACUGAGCAUUAGAAAGUACAAUGGAAGCACAAUGAUAUUAUUUCAUUACUUGCCAGAUCUGUAUUUCGCACCCUGACCUAGAAUGGCUUAUACAUUGUACAUUUUUUAAAACCGUUUUUACCAUCCACACAGUACUACAGGACAUGACAUGUCAACUGGAAAAUAAUAAUCUCUUACUGAAGACAACUGGUCACAGUGCCUGUCACAGUAGGCACCUGGUGUAUCACAGUGAGGAUAGCGUUUUUUAAAUAUUUUUUUUACAUUAUAUCCAUUUAUACAACUUGAUAUUUAACAAAGGAAUUCAGGUUAAGUACCUUGCUCAAGGGUGUAACAGCAGUGCCUUAUCUGGAAUGUUAAUAAGCAAUCCCCUGUUAA